UACGGAGGGUGCGAUCGUUAUUCGGAAUUACUGGGCGUAAAGCGCGUGUAGGCGGUUUUGCAAGUCUGAUGUGAAAGCCCCGGGCUUAACCUGGGAAGUGCAUUGGAAACUGCAGGACUUGAGUACCGGAGAGGAAGGGGGAAUUCCCGGUGUAGAGGUGAAAUUCGUAGAGAUCGGGAGGAAUUCCAGUGGCGUAGGCGCCCUUCUGGACGGUUACUGACGCUGAGACGCGAAAGCGUCGGGAGCAAACAGG
Molecule: ribosomal RNA, 253 nt
Filed under: uncultured bacterium
Lineage: Bacteria
Description: partial 16S ribosomal RNA
Rfam family: Bacterial small subunit ribosomal RNA
Source: RNAcentral